Molecule: small RNA, 251 nt
Filed under: Arabidopsis thaliana (thale cress)
Lineage: Eukaryota; Viridiplantae; Streptophyta; Magnoliopsida; Brassicales; Brassicaceae
Description: ATSL001180
Source: RNAcentral
AAGAAAAAAGCUCUUUAAAAUCCGAAAGUAACUAUUUUCAAAAAAUCUAAAUUAUAAACUUAAAUGUUUGGAAUCGCGAACGACUAUUGCUAAAUAUAAAUGCUAAAUAUACAUGAAGAUGUGAAAAACAUGUUGGAUUUGUGGAAUCGUUAAUGACCACGGUUAAAUGGCGGGAUCCAAAAUCCGGUUAGAUUUCACAAUGUCAUAUUACGUCAUAUUAAUUUAGUAUUUAUAAAAAAAACCUUUUAAAA